Molecule: ribosomal RNA, 468 nt
Filed under: uncultured bacterium
Lineage: Bacteria
Description: partial 16S ribosomal RNA
Rfam family: Bacterial small subunit ribosomal RNA
Source: RNAcentral
GACGAACGCUGGCGGCGUGCUUAACACAUGCAAGUCGAACGGAAAGGCCCUGCUUUUGUGGGGUGCUCGAGUGGCGAACGGGUGAGUAACACGUGAGUAACCUGCCCUUGACUUUGGGAUAACUUCAGGAAACUGGGGCUAAUACCGGAUAGGAGCUCCUGCUGCAUGGUGGGGGUUGGAAAGUUUCGGCGGUUGGGGAUGGACUCGCGGCUUAUCAGCUUGUUGGUGGGGUAGUGGCUUACCAAGGCUUUGACGGGUAGCCGGCCUGAGAGGGUGACCGGCCACAUUGGGACUGAGAUGCGGCCCAGACUCCUACGGGAGGCAGCAGUGGGGAAUAUUGCACAAUGGGAGGAAGCCUGAUGCAGCCACGCCGCGUGCGGGAUGACGGCAUUCGGGUUGUAAUCCGCUUUCGCCUGUGACGAAGCGUGAGUGACGGUAAUGGGUAAAGAAGCACCGGCUAACUACGUG